AACGAACGCUGGCGGCAGGCCUAACACAUGCAAGUCGAGCGAGGACUUCGGUCCUAGCGGCGGACGGGUGAGUAACGCGUGGGAACGUGCCCUUUGCUUCGGAAUAGCCCUGGGAAACUGGGAGUAAUACCGGAUGAGCCCUUCGGGGGAAAGAUUUAUCGGCGAAGGAUCGGCCCGCGUUGGAUUAGGUAGUUGGUGGGGUAAUGGCCUACCAAGCCGACGAUCCAUAGCUGGUUUGAGAGGAUGAUCAGCCACACUGGGACUGAGACACGGCCCAGACUCCUACGGGAGGCAGCAGUGGGGAAUCUUAGACAAUGGGGGAAACCCUGAUCGAGCCAUGCCGCGUGAGCGAUGAAGGCCUUAGGGUUGUAAAGCUCUUUCAGCUGGGAAGAUAAUGACGGUACCAGCAGAAGAAGCCCCGGCUAACUCCGUG
RNAcentral lists this ribosomal RNA (433 nucleotides) under uncultured bacterium. RNAcentral's name for it is "partial 16S ribosomal RNA". It matches the Rfam family "Bacterial small subunit ribosomal RNA", at positions 29 to 507 of the family's 1533-position model. The record is from RNAcentral.